Molecule: ribosomal RNA, 468 nt
Filed under: uncultured bacterium
Lineage: Bacteria
Description: partial 16S ribosomal RNA
Rfam family: Bacterial small subunit ribosomal RNA
Source: RNAcentral
GACGAACGCUGGCGGCGUGCUUAACACAUGCAAGUCGAACGGAAAGGCCCUGCUUUUGUGGGGUGCUCGAGUGGCGAACGGGUGAGUAACACGUGAGUAACCUGCCCUUGACUUUGGGAUAACUUCAGGAAACUGGGGCUAAUACCGGAUAGGAGCUCCUGCUGCAUGGUGGGGGUUGGAAAGUUUCGGCGGUUGGGGAUGGACUCGCGGCUUAUCAGCUUGUUGGUGGGGUAGUGGCUUACCAAGGCUUUGACGGGUAGCCGGCCUGAGAGGGUGACCGGCCACAUUGGGACUGAGAUACGGCCCAGACACCUACGGGAGGCAGCAGUGGGGAAUAUUGCACAAUGGGCGGAAGCCUGAUGCAGCAACGCCGCGUGCGGGAUGACGGCCUUCGGGUUGUAAACCGCUUUCGCCUGUGACGAAGCGUGAGUGACGGUAAUGGGUAAAGAAGCACCGGCUAACUAUGUG